This 502-nucleotide unclassified non-coding RNA is filed under the name uncultured Glomus. RNAcentral describes it as "SSU rRNA". It matches the Rfam family "Eukaryotic small subunit ribosomal RNA", at positions 569 to 1073 of the family's 1831-position model. The record is from RNAcentral. Lineage: Eukaryota; Fungi; Glomeromycota; Glomeromycetes; Glomerales; Glomeraceae.
AGCAGCCGCGGUAAUUCCAGCUCCAAUAGCGUAUAUUAAAGUUGUUGCAGUUAAAAAGCUCGUAGUUGAACUUCGGGGUUUACUCAUUGGUCAGGCUUAAUUGUCUGUACUGGUGAGAUGAAUCUCUACCUUCUGAGGAACUUUCAUGCCAUUUAUUUGGUGUGGUUGGAAAUCAGGACUGUUACUUUGAAAAAUUAGAGUGUUUAAAGCAGGCUAACGUCUGAAUACAUUAGCAUGGAAUAAUGAAAUAGGACGGAUUGAUUCUAUUUCGUUGGUUUCUAGGGUCACCGUAAUGAUUAAUAGGGAUAGUUGGGGGCAUUAGUAUUCAAUUGUCAGAGGUGAAAUUCUUGGAUUUUAUUGAAGACUAACUACUGCGAAAGCAUUUGCCAAGGAUGUUUUCAUUAAUCAAGAACGAAAGUUAGGGGAUCGAAGACGAUCAGAUACCGUCGUAGUCUUAACCAUAAACUAUGCCGACUAGGGAUCGGACGCAGUUAAUUUUAUA